UUACUGUACAUUCCUAAACACUGACUAACACAAUAUGGAUAAUCAUGCUGUUGCAAUUCAUCCACACGUUUCUCAAGCCCGCUUGUUUUUUCUCAGCUAGAGCGUGCCUUGGUGAAUCCUGUCGCUGAACCAAUUUCUCUCCCUUGGUCACGACCAUGCUAAGCUUUUCCUUUGUAUUUGCAAGGCCCUAUUAUUUUUCUGCUCAAGUUCCACCUUCACUCUUCCAAGUUAUGCAUUUGCUGCUCAAGCAAAUCAUUUGGAAAAAAAGCAGCCACAGCAAGAACACCAUAGCAGCAGCAACAUGGCCAUGCCAACAAGCAACAGCUUAAAACGGGAAAAUCGUAUGGAAAACAGGAAAAGAAACACCAGCAAGAAAGAACUAACUACAAAGUUCGUCGUCAUACCAGCAAUAUGACCAUGCCACAGCUUAAAAAGGGGAAAAUCGUGUGGAAAAUAGGAAAAGAAACACCAGCAAGAAAGAACUAACUACAAAGUUCGUAGUCAUACUAGCAAUAUGGACAGCUCACAGCUUAAAAAGGGAAAAUCGUGUGGACAACAGGAAAAGAAACACCAGCAAGAAAGAACUAACUACAAAGUUCGUAGUCAUACUAGCAAUAUGGACAGCUCACAGCUUAAAAGGGGAAAAUCGUGUGGACAACAGGAAAAGAAACACCAGCAAGAAAGAACUAACUACAACGUGCGUAGUCAUAC
RNAcentral lists this long non-coding RNA (711 nucleotides) under Populus tremula. Its description in RNAcentral is "long non-coding RNA (PTRE_LNC000551)". Lineage: Eukaryota; Viridiplantae; Streptophyta; Magnoliopsida; Malpighiales; Salicaceae. The record is from RNAcentral.